RNAcentral lists this ribosomal RNA (254 nucleotides) under uncultured bacterium. RNAcentral's name for it is "partial 16S ribosomal RNA". It matches the Rfam family "Bacterial small subunit ribosomal RNA", at positions 524 to 776 of the family's 1533-position model. The record is from RNAcentral.
UACGAAGGGGGCUAGCGUUGCUCGGAAUCACUGGGCGUAAAGGGUGCGUAGGCGGGUCUUUUAAGUCAGGGGUGAAAUCCUGGAGCUCAACUCCAGAACUGCCUUUGAUACUGAAGAUCUUGAGUUCGGGAGAGGUGAGUGGAACUGCGAGUGCAGAGGUGAAAUUCGUAGAUAUUCGCAAGAACACCAGUGGCGAAGGCGGCUCACUGGCCCGAUACUGACGCUGAGGCACGAAAGCGUGGGGAGCAAACAGG